GUCUCAUUGUGUUGACCAGGCUGGUAUUGAACUCCUGGGCUCAAGUGAUCCUCCUGCCUCUGCCUCCAACGGAAAUCUACACUGACCAUUCCAGUUACCUAUUUCUGUGGAACAAAUCACCUCCAAAGAAAAGUGUCUGGUAUACUGUAUGCUAAUCCAACAGGACUGUGGUCUUAUAAGAAGAGGAAGACUCUCUCUCUACCAUGAGAACACAGGAUGAGAAGGCUGCCAUCUGCAAGCCAGAAGGAGAGCCCUCACUGGAAGUCAGCCAUGUUGGCACCCCGAUCACAGACUUCCAGACUACAGAGCUGCUGGGCCGUAAUCCAAGGACCAGUGUCUUCAUAAGAGGGAAAUUUGGACACAGGUGACACAGAAAGGAGAAUGCCACAGGAUGAAGGAGGCAGAGAUGGAAUGAUGCAUCUACAAGCUGGGGCUCCUGGCAACCACGAGAAGCUAGGAGAGAAGCAGGUAACAGAUAUUCCCCCAGUCUCCAGGAGAAACCAACCCUGCCAAUACCUUGACUUCCGACUUCCUGACUACAGACCAUAAGAGAAUACAUUUCUCCUGUUUGAAGCCACCUAGUUUGUGGUCAUUCCCUAUGGCAGCCCUGGGAAA
Molecule: long non-coding RNA, 615 nt
Organism: Cebus imitator (Panamanian white-faced capuchin)
Lineage: Eukaryota; Metazoa; Chordata; Mammalia; Primates; Cebidae
Exons: 3
Source: RefSeq, a predicted model, not a curated record